Molecule: ribosomal RNA, 475 nt
Filed under: uncultured organism
Description: partial 16S ribosomal RNA
Rfam family: Bacterial small subunit ribosomal RNA
Source: RNAcentral
GUACACUCCUGCGGGAGGCAGCAGUGGGGAAUUUUGGACAAUGGGCGAAAGCCUGAUCCAGCAAUGCCGCGUGAGUGAAGAAGGCCUUCGGGUUGUAAAGCUCUUUUGUCAGGGAAGAAACGGUGAGAGCUAAUAUCUUUUGCUAAUGACGGUACCUGAAGAAUAAGCACCGGCUAACUACGUGCCAGCAGCCGCGGUAAUACGUAGGGUGCAAGCGUUAAUCGGAAUUACUGGGCGUAAAGCGUGCGCAGGCGGUUUUGUAAGUCUGAUGUGAAAUCCCCGGGCGCAACCUGGGAAUUGCAUUGGAGACUGCAAGGCUAGAAUCUGGCAGAGGGGGGUAGAAUUCCACGUGUAGCAGUGAAAUGCGUAGAUAUGUGGAGGAACACCGAUGGCGAAGGCAGCCCCCUGGGUCAAGAUUGACGCUCAUGCACGAAAGCGUGGGGAGCAAACAGGAUUAGAAACCCGAGUAGUCCCA